RNAcentral lists this ribosomal RNA (539 nucleotides) under Cynolebias porosus. RNAcentral's name for it is "partial 16S ribosomal RNA". It matches the Rfam family "Bacterial large subunit ribosomal RNA", at positions 1849 to 2606 of the family's 2925-position model. The record is from RNAcentral. Lineage: Eukaryota; Metazoa; Chordata; Actinopteri; Cyprinodontiformes; Rivulidae.
GAGGUCAAACCUGCCCAGUGAUGCAAAUUAAACGGCCGCGGUAUUUUGACCGUGCAAAGGUAGCGUAAUCAAUUGUCUUUUAAAUGAAGACCUGUAUGAAAGGUGAAACGAAAACUCAACUGUCUCAUUCUUUUAACCAAUGAAAUUGAUCUCUCCGUGCAGAAGCGGGGGUAAAAACAUUAGACAAAAAGACCCUGUGGAGCUUCAGAUAAUACAGCUUAUAGCUUUACAAACACUCUGUAAAACCUUAAACCCUGUUAACAUCUUCGAUUGGGGCGAUCGCGGAGAAAACAUACCCUCCAUGAAGAAAAAUACUAUUUUGAUAAUUAAGAGCCACAGCUCUAAAUACUAAAAUAUUUAACUUCACGAACCGGCUAGCCGAUUAACGAACUCAGUUACCCCAGGGAUAACAGCGCAAUCCCCUUAAAGAGUACUUAUCACCAAGGGGGUUUACGACCUCGAUGUUGGAUCAGGACAUCCUAAUGGCGCACCUGCUAUUAAGGGUUCGUUUGUUCAACGAUUAAAGUCCUACGUGAUCU